Long non-coding RNA from Paramormyrops kingsleyae, 4095 nucleotides. RefSeq lists it as uncharacterized. Lineage: Eukaryota; Metazoa; Chordata; Actinopteri; Osteoglossiformes; Mormyridae. The record is from RefSeq and is a predicted model, not a curated record.
CUGGACUCUUGUAGUGAGACAAGAAAAGAUGGAGACUUACUGCAAACAUUUGCCUUAAGCUCUUUAAUGCACGUUAAAAUUUAAGUGCAUAUACAGUAGACUGUAAGUACAUAGUGUUUGUAGAAGACAUGGCCACAUUGCCAAUCACUACACAGAUACCGCCCACAUUCUCACCUUAUCAUCGCAUCAACUCACCGUAAUAUUGGCUUCAAUCUCCUGUCUGGUGUUUUUUUGUGGCGAUCCUGGUGCUGCUGUCCAUCCUCUUUCAGAGACACUCGUUUUGCCGCAAAAUCAGGACUAAUCAGGAUUCUCGUCAAUACCCCGUAAGCCCCCUCGGGCUUGAUCAAGUAUGGAAAGACGGACUGAAUUAAGUUUAUUUUCAAAUUAAAUAAAGUCUGUAAUCGUUAUGGUGAAUUUUCUCUGCAUGAAAAGUUUAAAAACUUUUAAGGCAAAGUUUUACGCCUUUUUCAGAGCAGUAAUGCAGAAAAGCUACCGUGACAAAUUCAGGUCACUGAAGACAUGUAUUUCAUGCAAAAGAUAUAACGUCUAUGAAACUUGAAGCUAUGAUGUAAGCUUACAUACGUAAUGUAAUAAAAUACACUCGUGCUUAAGCAGGCAGUUGAAAGUAAGUUGCCUGCAUUUCUGGCUGAAGUGAAAGUUAGAUUUUAAACAUGAGUCAAAAAUGUGCUUUUAUUUUUUGUAUUUUAAAGUAUAUGUACAUGAUAUUUAAAAGUCUGAUGGUGGCAAGAGUUUGCAUGCUAGGUCUACGAUAAGACUACUCAUUACUUUAUUAUUUCCCUAGAUAUUUAUAUUUAGUGUACUGCAACACCAGAAAAAAUGGUGCAAGGGGAAUGAAGAUUGAUUAUGUAGUUAUAUUUGGUAUAUAAAUGUACAUGUACUAUAUACAUAUAUUGUUAGCUUUGGGAUAAAGUUAAUGUUUUUAGAGUAGAUGUUUUUCAGUAGAACACAGUGAGUGUAUAAAAAUGCUAAAGUUACAAUGAAACGAGGCACCAACCUAUACAAGCAUUUUAUGGGGAAAGAAUGGGAAUUACAUUAUUGUUCAGAUUUCUGAAAGAUUUGCUGAAUCAAGGGUAUUUCCACAAGUUAAUUUUUCAGUUAUAUCGUGAGUCAAUACAUUUUUUUUUUUUUUUAAUUUAGAAAAUUAAACAUUUUUCUGGUGGUUUGUUGCUAGGAUACAUUACAAAGUGUAAGGACAGGGGAUCUUUCAAUACCAAGGCUCUUAUUUAGUUGCUAUGCUGUCACUGAUUUCAAUGGGGAUCUUAAGAUUCUUAAAGUUACUACAAUAAGACUUCACUGAGGUGGGAGUGGGUGGAGAAGAAAGUAUUACUAUUCAGCAUUUUGUAAGACCCAAAUCAAAUGGGCUGGUAUAUAAGGAGACAAUCCAAAAUUUGAAACUGUGGAAAAAAUAGGGAAUUGGUCUCAGGAUAUUAAAUAUGACUCUAUAAUUAAUAUGAGGGUAACGUUUGUAAAUUUUCAACACUGACACUAUGUUUUGAUUUAUGGAUACUCUGCCCCACUAUUACAACAGUAGGCACUCAUUAUGGCUCCCCGCUAUAAUGAACAAGGUUCAGUGAUGGCCUAUGACAAUGCAGUGACCCAGGUAAGGAGUCUGUCUAAACAUCUAAUCCUUGCAAAGAAUCCCAUCACUUUUAGUCAUCCCAGUGACCAAGUCAACUACUCUGUUUCAUCAAGUGUUGAAAAAAUGCAGAGAUGUGCCUUUCUCUGGAGGGUUAAGUUAGCCCGAUUCCUUUCACCAGCCCGUACAGCUGUUUCUCGCCGGGCAGCCAAGCAACUACCAGUGGCAGACAUUGGAAACCUCUCUGCCUUAUCUCCCAUCCUACAUGAGCGUUCGCAAAAAGGACCGGCAACAGCAGAUCCACACGAUGACUGUGGAGCGGUUCGGCCUCAGUAGCCCUGUUCCAGACAAGAUGAGCAGCUGCACAAUCAAAGGGCUUCCUGCUUGCAAAUAUUGAUACAACAAGACAGCUUCACUGGAAGGCAUGUCUCUGUUCAGGGCAUCAUUAGACGAUCAUCUGCAAUUAAUCAGUGUUUCUUUUCUUCUUCUUCAAUGACUCAGGCUUGUAGACAAUUAACCCUCCCUAGCUGUCUGAUUCUUUUGCAAUUAAUUGCAGAACUAGUGUGCUACCUCUGUGGGGGAAACGAUAUUUAGCUUUCCCAGAGCAAAGAGAUGUUUUAUGUUUUCAUUUUGCCUUGAAAAGAAAGGAGGGUGUCCCUAUUACCAUGGGGCAUCAGAGUAAUUAACAGAUAAGGGAUACAAAGUAAGGGCGCAAACACAAGUGGAAGGCGUUGUCAGGACUGAGCUUUAAACAGGCAUGUUAUGCAAAUAAAUGCUACGUUAUUUCUGGUUGAUUAAUCCCGGCCUGUCAUGAGGAACGGAUUGUGGAACCCUGGUUUAAUUGUAUAGUCCUGAUAAACAGCAGCCAAACCACAGUUAAUGGGGUCUAACACUGAGAUUCCUCACACAUGCAAUCAAUAGAACAAAGCAGCUUGUAGAUAAUUGUGGGGAAACAUCUGAUGUUCAUCUGACUUUCAAACGAACCCAUUUUCUUUUUUCCAGACGAUAAUGGUGGGCUUUAACCAUUUCUUCUUUCCUAUCUAAAUUUAACUUCUGCAUGUCUGAAAAUGAGUAGUUAUUUGUAAUUAAUUGUAUGGUAGUCUAUUAUAUGACAACCCUUCUAUUACUGUAAAUACUUAAAAAAAUAAAUGCCUUUUAACAAUAGAAUAAAUUAUACUUUAUUAUUCUCUGUGGGGAAAUUCUCUGUAGACCUCCCCCAGCUUGCUCUCUAUAGGUAAGAGCCAGCUGGCCAUAAAGGCACCCAGGGAGCUGGGGGCUAAGGGCCUCGCUCAAGGACUCACAGAAGUGGCAAAUCCAGGCUCAAACCAGCGCCCUCGUGAUCACAGGCACAGAGGCUUAGUCACACACUGGCAUGUCAAAGUCUCUAGACUUUUCACAAGAAAAAGAACAGGAUAAAACCACAAGACUGGUAUUAUUUGACUAUAAGAAUUUAUAAUUGAAGUCUCAAGGGUAUAUCCUAAAAAUAACAAGAGAUCAUCAGCAUUUUGUUUUCUUGUGUGAAUGUUGUGGAUACUUGCUGUUCUAAUAUAGGACUGUGUUUGUCACCACACUCUAUUACAAAUGAAUGUUCUGUUUGCUGCUUUCUUUUCAGUCGCCCCCGACUUAUGAGGAAUCCAUUGGCCAGUGUGUCACGGUCCCCUGCAGGCUUGGGGAACCCGAUACUGCCUCGCCCUCUCUUGCUGACUCUCACCAUAGCGAAGCCUCCGCUGAGGUGAGAGGCAGUCUCAGAGCAGCAUUCCACUCCAGAUGCCCGCUGUGCCCCUUUGCCUACAGUAUGUAGAGCCUUCUUGCCACCCCGCCCCCUUUCCCAAAAGGCUCUGUAAGAUCAAGGCACACUUCAGCUCUUCUCAUAAGUGUAACAGAAACAUAAAACGCAGAUAACAUUGUCCCAGUUAAGAAGUCAGUGGAUUUGGGCCAAAGGCUGAAUAUCAGUGUCAACUGGCUAAACAUCAGUGCCAAAAGGCAGACACAGUUAUACAGCUGGAUUUUGCCACUGUGUCUUUCCGAACCUUUACCCUCAACGCAGGGAUGCCUAUGAUGCCUUAUCGAUGGAGACUUUGUUUUUCACUAAACAGGAAAAUGCCCUGUUCUUUGAACUUGAGCCUGUUUUUUUAAAUGACUCAGGAUGAAAUAAAAAUCAUCCGUGGCUAUUUAGGAUUUUCUGAUUUGUCUGUUACUUAUUUAAACGGCUUCUGGCCGACUUUAAAGGAACACGUAACACCUGAUAUCUGGGAGCAGUUCUGAAGUGGACCUUGUCGCAGGGAGUCAUUAACCUCAGACAAUUCAUUCUGGCGUUGGUGGAAAACGGGAAGAGCAAGCUACUGCAAAAGCACACUCUACAAUUGCUUACAUUAAUGUUAAUGGAUGCAAACAGUCGUAUAAAAACAUUUCACUCAUUUCUGGCACCAGUUAGCCUGUGUUCCAAGUGUAUAAAGAUGUAUAAAGUAAAAUGUAUUGUUCAGAAGAAAUAAUGAAGA